This 400-nucleotide ribosomal RNA is filed under the name uncultured microorganism. Its description in RNAcentral is "bacterial SSU rRNA". It matches the Rfam family "Bacterial small subunit ribosomal RNA", at positions 9 to 406 of the family's 1533-position model. The record is from RNAcentral.
GAGUUUGAUCGUGGCUCAGAUUGAACGCUGGCGGCAUGCCUUACACAUGCAAGUCGAACGGCAGCAUGAUCUAGCUUGCUAGAUUGAUGGCGAGUGGCGAACGGGUGAGUAAUACAUCGGAACGUGCCCUGUAGUGGGGGAUAACUAGUCGAAAGAUUAGCUAAUACCGCAUACGACCUGAGGGUGAAAGUGGGGGACCGCAAGGCCUCAUGCUAUAGGAGCGGCCGAUGUCUGAUUAGCUAGUUGGUGGGUAAAGGCCCACCAAGGCGACGAUCAGUAGCUGGUCUGAGAGGACGAUCAGCCACACUGGGACUGAGACACGGCCCAGACUCCUACGGGAGGCAGCAGUGGGGAAUCUUGGACAAUGGGCGAAAGCCUGAUCCAGCAAUGCCGCGUGUGU